RNAcentral lists this ribosomal RNA (403 nucleotides) under uncultured bacterium. RNAcentral describes it as "partial 16S ribosomal RNA". It matches the Rfam family "Bacterial small subunit ribosomal RNA", at positions 30 to 526 of the family's 1533-position model. The record is from RNAcentral.
AUUGAACGCUGGCGGCAUGCCUAAUACAUGCAAGUCGAGCGAGCGGCGGACGGGUGAGUAAUGUAUGGGGACUUCCCUAUAAAGGUGGAAUACCACUGGAAACGGUAGCCAAUACCGGAUACUAUCGGAUAACUCAUUUGGGAUUAGCUAGUGGGGAAGGUAAUGGCUUACCUAGGCGACGAUCCCUAGCUGGUCUGAGAGGGUGAUCGGCCAACCUGGAACUGAGACACGGCCCAGACUCCUACGGAGGCAGCGGUGGGGAAUAUUGCGCAAUGGGCGAAAGCCUGAUGCAGCAAUGCCGCGUGUGUGAGGAAGGCCCUAGGGUUGUAAAGUACUUUCAGUCGGGAGGCGUUACCUACUCAGAAAGCACCGGCUAACUCCGUGCCAGCAGCCGCGGUAAUUC